GAUGAAGAACGCAGCGAAAUGCGAUAAGUAAUGUGAAUUGCAGAAUUCAGUGAAUCAUCGAAUCUUUGAACGCACAUUGCGCCCGCCAGUAUUCUGGCGGGCAUGCCUGUUCGAGCGUCAUUUCAACCAUCAAGCCCCAGGCUUGUGUUGGGGACCUGCGGCUGCCGCAGGCCCUGAAAACCAGUGGCGGGCUCGCUGUCACACCGGGCGUAGUAGAUUUUAUCUCGCUCAGGGCGUGCUGCGGGUUCCGGCCGUUAAAAAGCCUUUUUUACCCAAGGUUGACCUCGGAUCAGGUAGGAAGAUCCGCUGAACUUAAGCAUAUCAAUAAGCGGAGGA
RNAcentral lists this unclassified non-coding RNA (336 nucleotides) under soil metagenome. RNAcentral's name for it is "partial contains 5.8S ribosomal RNA, internal transcribed spacer 2, and large subunit ribosomal RNA". The stretch from base 1 to 120 matches the Rfam family "5.8S ribosomal RNA", at positions 35 to 154 of the family's 154-position model. The record is from RNAcentral.